RNAcentral lists this transfer RNA (72 nucleotides) under Opisthoproctus soleatus (barrel-eye). RNAcentral's name for it is "tRNA-Trp". It matches the Rfam family "tRNA". From Rfam's summary of the family: Transfer RNA (tRNA) molecules are approximately 80 nucleotides in length. Their secondary structure includes four short double-helical elements and three loops (D, anti-codon, and T loops). Further hydrogen bonds mediate the characteristic L-shaped molecular structure. tRNAs have two regions of fundamental functional importance: the anti-codon, which is responsible for specific mRNA codon recognition, and the 3' end, to which the tRNAs corresponding amino acid is attached (by aminoacyl-tRNA synthetases). tRNAs cope with the degeneracy of the genetic code in two manners: having more than one tRNA (with a specific anti-codon) for a particular amino acid; and 'wobble' base-pairing, i.e. permitting non-standard base-pairing at the 3rd anti-codon position. Lineage: Eukaryota; Metazoa; Chordata; Actinopteri; Argentiniformes; Opisthoproctidae. The record is from RNAcentral.
AGGGGUUUAGGAUAAUUGUUAAACCAAGGGCCUUCAAAGCUCUAAAUGAGGGUGAAAACCCCCCAGCCCCUG